RNAcentral lists this long non-coding RNA (895 nucleotides) under Homo sapiens (human). Its description in RNAcentral is "HSALNT0326448". Lineage: Eukaryota; Metazoa; Chordata; Mammalia; Primates; Hominidae. The record is from RNAcentral.
CUAAAUGAAAGUUCAACUCUGUCAGUUGAAUACACACAACACAAGGAAGUUACUGAGAAUUCUUCUGUCUAGCCUUAUAUGAAAAAAUCCCGUUUCCACGGAAGGCCUCAAAGAGGUCAAAAUAUCCACGUGCAGACUUUACAAACAGAGUGUUUCCAAACUGCUGAAUGAAAAGAAAAGUUAAACUCUGAGAGUUGAACGCACACAUCGCCGAGCAGUUUCUGAGAAUGAUUCUGUCUAGUUUUUAUACGAAGAUAUUCCCUUUUCUACUAUUGACCUCAAAGCGGCUGAAAUCUCCACCUGCAAAUUCCACAAAAAGAGAGUUUCUAAUCUGCUCUGUGUAAAGGAUCGUUCAACUCUGUGAGUUGAAUACACACAACACAAGGAAGUUACUGAGAAUUCUUCUGUCUAGCAUAAUAUGAAGAAAUCCCGUUUCCAACGAAGGCCUCAAGGAGGUCUGAAUAUCCACUUGCAGACUUUACAAACAGAGUGUUUCCUAACUGCUCUAUGAAAAGAAAGUUUAAACUCUGUGAGUUGAACGAACACAUCACAACACAGUUUGUGCGAAUGAUUCUGUCUAGUUUUGAAAUGAAGAUAUUUCCUUUUCUGCCUUUGGCCUCAAAGCGCUUGAAAUCUCCAAUUGCAAAUUCCACAAAAAGAGUGUUUCAAAUCUGCUCUGUCUAAAUGAAAGUUCAACUGUGUCAGUUGAAUACACACAACACAAGGAAGUUACUGAGAAUUCUUCUGUCUAGCAUAGUAUGAAGAAAUCCCGUUUCCAACGAUGGCCUCAAAUAGGUCUGAAUAUCCACUUGCAGACUUUACAAACAGAGUGUUUCCUAACUGCUAUAUAAAAAGAAAGGUUAAACUCUGUGAGUUGAACGCACACAUCACAAAG